RNAcentral lists this transfer RNA (64 nucleotides) under Gymnopis multiplicata. RNAcentral describes it as "tRNA-Val". Lineage: Eukaryota; Metazoa; Chordata; Amphibia; Gymnophiona; Dermophiidae. The record is from RNAcentral.
CAAAAUGAAGUCAAUAAAACAUUUCACAUACUGAAAAAAAACUCACUCAAAUAAGUCACUUUAC